Molecule: long non-coding RNA, 1217 nt
Filed under: Equus caballus (horse)
Lineage: Eukaryota; Metazoa; Chordata; Mammalia; Perissodactyla; Equidae
Description: lncRNA (ENSECAG00000047769.1)
Source: RNAcentral
AAAGAGGCUGAAGGGAUGGAUGAGGCUGAGAGUCGAGACCAAUCCAAUUAAUUUUUUGCCACUGUUAAAACUAGUUGUAUUGACAGGUCCUUCCAUUGUCACCCUGGCAGAAAGCUUAAGACUUCCCUUCUCCAAGCUGUGGUUUCCCUUCUCCUGAGAAUGGGAAUGAUAAUGCCUAUCUUGCAGGGCUGCUGAGGGAAUUCAAUGGUAUGAUGAGGGCACAGAGCCUAGCAUGCAGUAGGCAUACAAGAAGUGGUAGCAGUUAUUGUUUUCUCCCCCCGACACGUCACGCACAUCAACAACCUGUAUACCAUCGUUGCUUUCUCUGUACCUGGCUACCACAAGUAUCCCACACAGUCAGCUUCACAGACAAGGCAGAUGCAGCAUUGCCCCAAUCUGGCUGCCUUUGCCUGUGGCCCCUGGAGAGCAGGCAAACUCUGUCUUCGCAGGGCUGGAUGAGCCCCAGAGGGCAAACUAAGCUUUGUCGUCAGAGAGAACUGGCCUUUAAGCUAAAAAGGAAAUGGAACAGAAGCUGUUUUUAGAGUUCAAAACAUCCAGGUACCUCUCCUUUCCAUUUUAAGACACUGCCCGGUGUUCACCGUUAAGAGGCUGGCUUCAAGGAGCAGGGUUGUAAUUCUAAGGCCAGGCUGCAGCACUAUUUCUGAUCCACCUGAAACCAUGUCCUGUGCCAGGUGCUACAGUUACCAAGGUAGCCAAGAGACAGGCCCUGUCCUCUAGGAGAUGCAGUCUAACUGGGAAAAACUAGACCUCCUCUCAUCAUUCAUCCCAACAGUAGGCUCUGCUGUGAGCUCUCCAGGGGCACCAAUAACUGAGAGAAGAGCUUCACCGCCAAAACAGAGCAAGACAUGACAACAAACAAAUUAUAGCUACUGGAGGUAAUAAUUCAUUUUUAGGAAAAUUGCCUACCUUUCCUCACUGUCCUUGGAUUAGAUGGUCAACAUCGAAAGCAGAAAGAUGACCAAGAACCCUCUUCUGUCUACACUUUACUGUUUCUCCCUAAUAAAAUAUCUACCAAUGCAUACAAGACCCAAUUGCCAUCUUUAUCAAAGCAACAGAGGGGAAGCUGUUGCACAGCCUAACAUCCUUGGGGUAUGAUCUACCUCUUAGCCCACUUUUACCAGCGUGGCCACCCAAAGUGUGAACAUACAUGGUCGACUAAAGACGGCCACAAAUUCUUCGUACGUCCCCCAUAAGAG